RNAcentral lists this non-coding RNA (28 nucleotides) under Homo sapiens (human). Lineage: Eukaryota; Metazoa; Chordata; Mammalia; Primates; Hominidae. The record is from RNAcentral.
UAGGUGCAAGGGACUGUAGACUUGUCUC